UACGAAGGGGGUUAGCGUUGCUCGGAAUCACUGGGCGUAAAGCGCACGUAGGCGGACUCUUAAGUCGGUGGUGAAAUCCUGGAGCUCAACUCCAGAACUGCCUUCGAUACUGGGAGUCUUCGAGUCCGGGAGAGGUGAGUGGAACUGCGAGUGUAGAGGUGAAAUUCGUAGAAAUUCGGAGGAACACCAGUGGCGAAGGCGGCUCACUGGUCCGGUACUGACGCUGAGGUGCGAAAGCGUGGGGAGCAAACAGG
This 254-nucleotide ribosomal RNA is filed under the name uncultured bacterium. RNAcentral describes it as "partial 16S ribosomal RNA". It matches the Rfam family "Bacterial small subunit ribosomal RNA", at positions 524 to 776 of the family's 1533-position model. The record is from RNAcentral.